AGCUUUGUGCAGUGGCAAUAUUGUAGCCAAUGAGGUUUCUCUGAGGCCCGAUUAUUGCUAACUGAAAACGUUUCCCAAUACCCUGCCGUGACGACUUGGGAUGCAGUCAGCACUGACAAUUUUUGACAGUCUCUACGGAUA
Saimiri boliviensis boliviensis (Bolivian squirrel monkey) is the source of this 141-nucleotide small nuclear RNA. RefSeq annotates it as U4 spliceosomal RNA. Lineage: Eukaryota; Metazoa; Chordata; Mammalia; Primates; Cebidae. The record is from RefSeq and is a predicted model, not a curated record.